AGGACGAACGCUGGCGGCGUGCUUAACACAUGCAAGUCGAACGAGGUGCUUCGGCACUUAGUGGCGAACGGGUGAGUAACACGUGAGCAACCUGCCCUUGGCUCUGGGAUAGCCUCCGGAAACGGGGAUUAAUACCGGACAUGACCUUCCCCGGCAUCGGGGUUGGUGGAAAGUUUUUCGGCCAGGGAGGGGCUCGCGGCCUAUCAGCUUGUUGGGGGGGUAACGCUCACCAAGGCGACGACGGGUAGCC
This 250-nucleotide ribosomal RNA is filed under the name uncultured bacterium. Its description in RNAcentral is "partial small subunit ribosomal RNA". It matches the Rfam family "Bacterial small subunit ribosomal RNA", at positions 26 to 288 of the family's 1533-position model. The record is from RNAcentral.